UGUUCGAGCGUUAUUUAAACCCUCAAGCCUAGCUUGGUGUUGGAGCAUGCUAUACCAGCAGCUCUUAAAAUCAGUGGCGGUGCCUCUAGGCUCUAAGCGUAGUAAUUAUUCUCGCUAUAGAACCCUAGUAGAUACUUGCCAUCAAUAUAUAAACUUUUAUGGUUAACCUCGGAUCAGGUAGGGAUACCCGCUGAACUUAA
RNAcentral lists this unclassified non-coding RNA (200 nucleotides) under soil metagenome. RNAcentral's name for it is "partial contains internal transcribed spacer 2 and large subunit ribosomal RNA". The record is from RNAcentral.